UGACCAUCAUGAGCUGAGUUGUUUGUGGCU
Molecule: non-coding RNA, 30 nt
Filed under: Homo sapiens (human)
Lineage: Eukaryota; Metazoa; Chordata; Mammalia; Primates; Hominidae
Source: RNAcentral